GUUAUGGUGUAGUUGAAUGGAAAGGUCGUCAAUAUUCU
Molecule: small RNA, 38 nt
Filed under: Staphylococcus aureus
Lineage: Bacteria; Bacillati; Bacillota; Bacilli; Caryophanales; Staphylococcaceae
Description: HMPRFS0000_2869
Source: RNAcentral